AGGGUUUGAUCAUGGCUCAGAUUGAACGCUAGCGGUAUGCUUAACACAUGCAAGUCGUACGGUAUAAAUCAUUUUUUUGAUUUUUAUAGUGGCGAACGGGUGAGUAAAACAUAGAAAUCUGCCUAGAAGAGAGGAAUAACUAUUGGAAACUUUAGCUAAUACCUCAUAAUCCCUUUGUAGCAAAGCAGGGGACCAUUUUUUGGCCUUGCGCUUUUAGAUGAGUCUAUGUCAGAUUAGCUAGUUGGUAAGGUAAUGGCUUACCAAGGCUGUGAUCUGUAGCUGGUUUGGGAGAAUGAUCAGCCACACUGGGACUGAGACACGGCCCAGACUCCUACGGGAGGCAGCAGUGGGGAAUUUUGGACAAUGAGCGAAAGCUUGAUCCAGCAAUAUCGCGUGUGUGAAGAAGGCCUGAGGGUUGUAAAGCACUUUCGGUGAGGAAGAAGUAUUUAUUAUUAAUAAUAAUGUAUAUUGACGUUACUCACAAAAGAAGCACCGGCUAACUCUGUGCCAGCAGCCGCGGUAAUACAGAGGGUGCAAGUGUUAAUCGGAAUUAUUGGGCGUAAAGAGUAUGUAGGUGGUUUUAUAAGUUGGGUGUAAAAUCUCUGGGCUCAACCCAGAAAGGUCACUCAAAACUAUAUAACUAGAGAUUUGAAGAGGAAAG
This 661-nucleotide ribosomal RNA is filed under the name uncultured bacterium. Its description in RNAcentral is "bacterial SSU rRNA". It matches the Rfam family "Bacterial small subunit ribosomal RNA", at positions 8 to 661 of the family's 1533-position model. The record is from RNAcentral.